UACGUAGGGACCAAGCGUUGUUCGGAUUUACUGGGCGUAAAGGGCGCGUAGGCGGCGUGACAAGUCACUUGUGAAAUCUCUGAGCUUAACUCAGAACGGCCAAGUGAAACUGUUGUGCUAGAGUGCAGAAGGGGCAAUCGGAAUUCUUGGUGUAGCGGUGAAAUGCGUAGAUAUCUGGAGGAACACCGGUGGCGAAGGCGGCAUCCUGGACCACGACUGACGCUGAGGAGCGAAAGCCAGGGGAGCAAACGGG
This 253-nucleotide ribosomal RNA is filed under the name uncultured bacterium. RNAcentral's name for it is "partial 16S ribosomal RNA". It matches the Rfam family "Bacterial small subunit ribosomal RNA", at positions 524 to 776 of the family's 1533-position model. The record is from RNAcentral.